GGGCUUGCAAUGGCAACACAUAUACUAAAAUUUGAAUGAUACGGAGAAGAUUAGCAUGGCCCCUGCACAAGGAUGAAAUGCAAAUUCAUGAAUUAUUCCACAUUUUU
Molecule: small nuclear RNA, 107 nt
Organism: Jaculus jaculus (lesser Egyptian jerboa)
Lineage: Eukaryota; Metazoa; Chordata; Mammalia; Rodentia; Dipodidae
Source: Ensembl